GUGGGAGCCGCAGGGCUGGGAGAGACACGCAGAGUCUGUGAGGACAGAGAAGAGAAGGAAUGAGCGCCUUGCCGCCACAGCAGUCCCCGUUCUGUGAGAAAACGACAGGACAGAGGCCUCACGUCAGGCCUGGACGUGGCCGCAGGGCCCGGCACCCUGAGCGGGGGUUCCUGCCACACUCCCCGUCACCCCCACCCUGGCAGGCCUGGCGAUCCCGCGGAGCACACACUGUCCUCCGGGGAUUACACGGCGGGAAUGCACCUCGGGAGAAGUGCUACAAACGCAAGUCGGCCGGGUGCGCUCGUCGGCCGUGAGGAGGGCCUCGCCAGAGACGACCUCCUUCAGGUAGUUGGACGGCAGCAGGGCCAGCCGCACGCCACGCAGGAGCACAGGUAGGUGGGCCUUGCGCUCCUCAAGGCUGUGCUUCACCCACUGCAGGACAGCCUCGAAGACAGCCCGCUCAUCCUCGGUCUCCAGCUCGUCACUGGAGAUGAGGUCCA
This 500-nucleotide long non-coding RNA is filed under the name Heterocephalus glaber (naked mole-rat). RNAcentral describes it as "lncRNA (ENSHGLG00000051024.1)". Lineage: Eukaryota; Metazoa; Chordata; Mammalia; Rodentia; Bathyergidae. The record is from RNAcentral.